This is a long non-coding RNA of Myotis daubentonii (Daubenton's bat), 558 nucleotides long. RefSeq lists it as uncharacterized. The record is from RefSeq and is a predicted model, not a curated record. NCBI's taxonomy places the organism in Eukaryota, Metazoa, Chordata, Mammalia, Chiroptera, Vespertilionidae.
UUGCUUUCUUCCUACCUCAGCAACCACUCCCCAGAUGUUGGCAGAGACACUGUGGUGGUUACAAAGGUCAGCAUGAGUGCUCGUGAGAGCUCACGUGUUUAUUUUGGGGGUACAGACCCUGAACUCCAGAAGUGCAGAGACCUGGUCCAGUUUGAUUGAUGUCCACGGGGCUGGUGUCCGUCGCUAUCAUCACUCUGAGCCUCUGGCAGGCUCGGUCCCUACUUGCCAGAUUCCACAUAUGAGUGCGAUCAUGUGAUACUUGUCUUUCUCUGACUAGCUUGUUUCGCUUAAUGUGAUAUUCUCCAGGUCCCUCCAUGCUGUCUCAAAGGAGAACACAUAACCUUCUCCCAGUCUAUGGCUCUGAGGAAGCACACUCUGGGAAGUACUCAUGUGGCAGAAUAAAGCACUAAUUUUUACAAUCAGACUGACUCAGACUUACCUUCGCAUUUAUUUGCCAUGCUAAAGAUACUCUGGCAGUUGUCUGCCUAGCAUUGAGCCUCAGGUUUCCUCAUCUGGAAAAUGUGAAUAGCUACCCUAGAGGGUCAUUGCAAGGAUGGA